RNAcentral lists this ribosomal RNA (440 nucleotides) under uncultured bacterium. RNAcentral's name for it is "partial 16S ribosomal RNA". It matches the Rfam family "Bacterial small subunit ribosomal RNA", at positions 338 to 795 of the family's 1533-position model. The record is from RNAcentral.
CCUACGGGUGGCAGCAGUGGGGAAUAUUGCACAAUGGGGGAAACCCUGAUGCAGCGACGUCGCGUGAGUGAAGAAGUAUCUCGGUACGUAAAGCUCUAUCAGCAGGGAAGAAAAUGACGGUACCUGACUAAGAAGCCCCGGCUAACUACGUGCCAGCAGCCGCGGUAAUACGUAGGGGGGCAGCGUUAUCCGGAUUUACUGGGUGUAAAGGGAGCGUAGACGGCAGCACAAGUCUGGAGGGAAAUCCCGGGGCUUAACCCCGGAACUGCUUUGGAAACUGUGCGGCUUGAGUGGAGGAGGGGUAAGCGGAAUUCCUAGUGUAGCGGUGAAAUGCGUAGAUAUUAGGAGGAACACCGGUGGCGAAGGCGGCUUACUGGACUGUAACUGACGUUGAGGCUCGAAAGCGUGGGGAGCAAACAGGAUUAGAUACCCCAGUAGUC